AUUGCUUCUCAGCCUUUUCACUAAGAUCCAGUGUAGUAGAUGUUCUCACCAGUUUAGUAUCUGAUACAUUCUGUAUCCGAGGACAGUAUAUGGAGUAGAGUUUUGGAGCUGGGACAUGGAACUGGGGCUUGCUCUGUCCGCUGCAUAAAUUGAGUUCGUAUUGUAGUGCCUCCAGGAAUGGUGCUCUUCCU
Small nuclear RNA from Fukomys damarensis (Damara mole-rat), 191 nucleotides. Its record names the gene U2. It matches the Rfam family "U2 spliceosomal RNA". Rfam says of the family: U2 is a small nuclear RNA (snRNA) component of the spliceosome (involved in pre-mRNA splicing). Complementary binding between U2 snRNA (in an area lying towards the 5' end but 3' to hairpin I) and the branchpoint sequence (BPS) of the intron results the bulging out of an unpaired adenosine, on the BPS, which initiates a nucleophilic attack at the intronic 5' splice site, thus starting the first of two transesterification reactions that mediate splicing. NCBI's taxonomy places the organism in Eukaryota, Metazoa, Chordata, Mammalia, Rodentia, Bathyergidae. The record is from Ensembl.